GAUGAACGCUGGCGGCGUGCCUAAUACAUGCAAGUCGAGCGAACGGACGAGAAGCUUGCUCCUCUGAUGUUAGCGGCGGACGGGUGAGUAACACGUGGAUAACCUACCUAUAAGACUGGGAUAACUUCGGGAAACCGGAGCUAAUACCGGAUAAUAUUUUGAACCGCAUGGUUCAAAAGUGAAAGACGGUCUUGCUGUCACUUAUAGAUGGAUCCGCGCUGCAUUAGCUAGUUGGUAAGGUAACGGCUUACCAAGGCAACGAAGCAUAGCCGACCUGAGAGGGUGAUCGGCCACACUGGAACUGAGACACGGUCCAGACUCCUACGGGAGGCAGCAGUAGGGAAUCUUCCGCAAUGGGCGAAAGCCUGACGGAGCAACGCCGCGUGAGUGAUGAAGGUCUUCGGAUCGUAAAACUCUGUUAUUAGGGAAGAACAAAUGUGUAAGUAACUGUGCACAUCUUGACGGUACCUAAUCAGAAAGCCACGGCUAACUACGUG
Molecule: ribosomal RNA, 497 nt
Filed under: uncultured bacterium
Lineage: Bacteria
Description: partial 16S ribosomal RNA
Rfam family: Bacterial small subunit ribosomal RNA
Source: RNAcentral